GCUCAGGAUGAACGCUGGCGGCGUGCUUAACACAUGCAAGUCGAACGGGGAACAUUUUUAUGGAAACUUCGGUGGAAAUAGCUUGUUCCUAGUGGCGGACGGGUGAGUAACGCGUGGGUAACCUGCCUCACACUGGGGGAUAACAGUCAGAAAUGACUGCUAAUACCGCAUAAGCGCACGGGGCCGCAUGGCUCAGUGUGAAAAACUCCGGUGGUGUGAGAUGGACCCGCGUUGGAUUAGCCAGUUGGCAGGGUAACGGCCUACCAAAGCGACGAUCCAUAGCCGGCCUGAGAGGGUGGACGGCCACAUUGGGACUGAGACACGGCCCAGACUCCUACGGGAGGCAGCAGUA
This 352-nucleotide ribosomal RNA is filed under the name uncultured bacterium. RNAcentral describes it as "bacterial SSU rRNA". It matches the Rfam family "Bacterial small subunit ribosomal RNA", at positions 22 to 356 of the family's 1533-position model. The record is from RNAcentral.